AGUGAACGCUGGCGGUAGGCCUAACACAUGCAAGUCGAACGGCAGCACAGUAAGAGCUUGCUCUUACGGGUGGCGAGUGGCGGACGGGUGAGGAAUACAUCGGAAUCUACUUUUUCGUGGGGGAUAACGUAGGGAAACUUACGCUAAUACCGCAUACGACCUACGGGUGAAAGCAGGGGAUCUUCGGACCUUGCGCGAUUGAAUGAGCCGAUGUCGGAUUAGCUAGUUGGCGGGGUAAAGGCCCACCAAGGCGACGAUCCGUAGCUGGUCUGAGAGGAUGAUCAGCCACACUGGAACUGAGACACGGUCCAGACUCCUACGGGAGGCAGCAGUGGGGAAUAUUGGACAAUGGGCGCAAGCCUGAUCCAGCCAUACCGCGUGGGUGAAGAAGGCCUUCGGGUAGUAAAGCCCUUUUGCUGGGAAAGAAAAGCAGCAGGUUAAUACCCCGCUGUUCUGACGGUACCCAAAGAAUAAGCACCGGCUAACUUCGUG
This 492-nucleotide ribosomal RNA is filed under the name uncultured bacterium. Its description in RNAcentral is "partial 16S ribosomal RNA". It matches the Rfam family "Bacterial small subunit ribosomal RNA", at positions 29 to 507 of the family's 1533-position model. The record is from RNAcentral.